GUGCAACAUGUGAACAUGAGACGGUGAGAGCCUAAACUAGGGGUAUAUUGGCUGCAGCAUGGCAAAAGGAGAAGCUGAUGUGAGAAGAAUUGUAAGGAAGAAGAAAGAGCUCUUGGUCACUAACUGGAUAAGGGUUUCUGUGGGUCAAGAGGCUAAGCAUGGCACCACUAGGUUGUCUGCUUGGGGUCUCAAAUGACUGCAAUCAAGGUGUCUGCUAGGCUGAGGUCUCCACUGGAGAAGAAUCCACUCUUGUCGGCAGAAUUCAGUUCUUCGCAGGUGUAGCUGCCAUGGCCCCUGACUGAGCCCCACCCUAGUUCUUCAGGCCAAGAAGAC
Piliocolobus tephrosceles (Ugandan red Colobus) is the source of this 333-nucleotide long non-coding RNA. RefSeq lists it as uncharacterized. The record is from RefSeq and is a predicted model, not a curated record. NCBI's taxonomy places the organism in Eukaryota, Metazoa, Chordata, Mammalia, Primates, Cercopithecidae. The transcript has 3 exons.